Molecule: long non-coding RNA, 1119 nt
Filed under: Lupinus mutabilis
Lineage: Eukaryota; Viridiplantae; Streptophyta; Magnoliopsida; Fabales; Fabaceae
Description: partial ncRNA
Source: RNAcentral
UUAAUGGUUUUAGUUAAGAAAAGAUGGGUGAAGAGAUAUGGUUGGCUUUUCAUUAUACUAAAAUUCGUUAUGCUACAACAACAUUCUGAAAACUCUGAUCUGAUAGAGAAACGACCUUAGACUUAGGGGCACUCUGCCCAUAGCAAUUCAAACCCACCAUCCCUUAUUUUAUUUUAUACUCUCUCUCUAUAAAUACGAUAGAAGAUGGAAUUUUAGAAUCCCAAAGUGAGCCUCCCUAUACAUAAAACUGUGGAGAAUGCACCUGAGUCUGCACACCUUCUUUGAAAGACCAAAAAGAUUACGUUCUGCUCUUUUGCUUUCCAUUUCCAUGUUUCUUCUCCUUCAACCCCAUCACCAAAAGUUCUAACCUUUUCAAGCAUUUUCCUCCCAUCCCCUACAAACACAUACUAUAAUCCAAACCAUGCAAUAUCACACUUGUGUUUCGAAUAGACCAUACUUUUACUUCUAGCUCCUACUCCCUCUAUUCCAUUUUCUCUUUAUAAAUAUAUAUACUCUCUACCUUCUUGUUUUAUAGCACAUUGCUUCAACCUUCUCUUUUAAUGGGCUUGUUAGGGAACUUUGAAUGGGUGAAUGCUUAUGGCAAGAAACGUUGCAAGAGCUUGUUUUGGAGGAUGAGAGCUACAGUGAAGAAGGCUUUGAAGAAGGGUGACAAGAAGAAGCAACUCAAGUUCCAAUAUGAUCCUUCAAGCUAUGCACUCAACUUUGAUGAUGGAUGUUCCCUUUUUGAUCUCAGAGAUGCUACAAAGAAAUCCAUGGAAGAUGCAAAAGUCCAAAACCUCAUAGACAUGAACAACAACAACAACACAACAUGGGUUUUUGUGCUUUUGGUCAAAACCAAGUGACAAUGUUUUCCUUAUCAACUGAGGCUUGUUUUCUCAUGUUUGGUACUUUUUAUGUUCUUUUUAUGUCUCUGGUUUCCUAGAUAAGUAAAGCAUUGCAGGAAUUUUAAAGGGUCAUGUUGUCACCCAUUGUGUGAGUGUACAUCCUUUACUUCUUUCAUGAGCUAUAACAGUCUUUAGUUUACAUUUAUUCUUGUGUUUUGAGCUAGAACAUAGUAUAAAAAUAGUAAAACUUGCCCAAGUAAAUUGCAGAAAAAAA